UUCCGGUUGAUCCUGCCAGAGGUCACUGCUAUCGGUGUCCGAUUAAGCCAUGCGAGUCGAGAGGUGUAAGACCUCGGCAGACUGCUCAGUAACACGUGGAUAACCUGCCCAAGGGUCCGGGAUAACCCCGGGAAACUGGGGAUAAUACCGGAUGGGUCACCAGUGCUGGAAUGCUUGGUGGUCGAAAGGUGACGCCUUUGGAUGGGUCUGCGGCGGAUUAGGUUGACGCCGGUGUAACGUACCGGCGUGCCUGUAAUCCGUACGGGUUGUGGGAGCAAGAGCCCGGAGAUGGAUUCUGAGACACGAAUCCAGGCCCUACGGGGCGCAGCAGGCGCGAAAACUCUACAAUGCAGGCAACUGCGAUAGGGGGACAUCGAGUGGCAUCCACCUUGGGUGUCUGUCCAACCGUCUAAAAAACGGUUGUUAGCAAGGGCCGGGCAAGACCGGUGCCAGCCGCCGCGGUAAUACCGGCGGCUCGAGUGGUGGCCGAUAUUAUUGAGUCUAAAGGGUCCGUAGCCGGCUUUGCAAGUCCCCUGGGAAAUCCGGCGGCUUAACCGUUGGGCUUUCAUGGGAUACUACAUUGCUUGGGACUGGGAGAGGUAGGAGGUACUCGGGGGGUAGGGGUGAAAUCCUGUAAUCCUCCGGGGACCACCGGUGGCGAAGGCGUCCUACCAGAACAGGUCCGACGGUGAGGGACGAAAGCUAGGGGCACGAACCGGAUUAGAUACCCGGGUAGUCCUAGCCGUAAACGAUGCCCGCUAGGUGUCACGACGGUCGUGAAUCGUCGUGGUGCCGUAGGGAAGCCGCGAUGCGGGCCACUUGGGAAGUACGGCCGCAAGGCUGAAACUUAAAGGAAUUGGCGGG
RNAcentral lists this ribosomal RNA (864 nucleotides) under uncultured Methanocella sp. Its description in RNAcentral is "bacterial SSU rRNA". It matches the Rfam family "Archaeal small subunit ribosomal RNA", at positions 1 to 872 of the family's 1478-position model. Lineage: Archaea; Methanobacteriati; Methanobacteriota; Methanomicrobia; Methanocellales; Methanocellaceae. The record is from RNAcentral.